UACGUAGGGGGCGAGCGUUGUCCGGAUUUAUUGGGCGUAAAGAGCGUGUAGGCGGCCAGGUAGGUCUGCUGUGAAAACUCGAGGCUCAACCUCGAGACGUCGGCGGAAACCAUCUGGCUAGAGUCCGGAAGAGGAGAGUGGAACUCCUGGUGUAGCGGUGAAAUGCGCAGAUAUCAGGAAGAACACCCGCGGCGAAGGCGGCACUCU
This 207-nucleotide ribosomal RNA is filed under the name uncultured bacterium. Its description in RNAcentral is "partial 16S ribosomal RNA". It matches the Rfam family "Bacterial small subunit ribosomal RNA", at positions 524 to 730 of the family's 1533-position model. The record is from RNAcentral.